GACACAGCCACACACCCACCCCAAAACCGCGGGAGGGGGCUGCAGUGUCCGCUGCCGGUGCCUCGCCCCCCGCACCCCCUGGGUGAAACGGCAUCCAGCCCCGCGGGUCUCCGCACCGGCGGGGGUCGCUUCGCACCGGCGGGGGCUGCCCGCAGCGGUGGGGUCGGUUCGCACCGGCGGGGUCCGUCUGUACCGACACCGCGCUCUCCCUGAGGGAAGACACACACCCCCCCCACACACACAUACACAUCCCGCACCGGGAGCCCACGUAACGUUAAUGGCAGCCAUUAGGAGAUACGGUACUUUCCCACUUUAGGCAAGCGAGUUGGCGUGUGACCCACUUGGGUGUGGAAACGCAUUGCCAUCAAAAGAAACCCUGGACAUUUGCAAAUAUUUCUUUGGAAACGCUAUUCCCCUUCUGUGUGACAGAAAGUUUCCACCUACAGGAGCUUCCAGUUAGUGAAGAAGUUAAUUCAGAUUUCAACUACAAGAAUUUGUCAAGCAUACAAGGAAGUACCAAAUUUAUUUACAUCUAGUGGGAAUUUUUUUGCUCAUCUGCACAAGAACAACUGGGAAGGAGUCCAAGGAUCAAUUAACCACCACCGCUGGCAUUAAUCUCUGGGCAGCACAGGUUUGUCCUGAAGAGUCCUUCCCCUUUCAAGAGUCCAUAACAUUGUACAGACAAGUGAAAUGAAAUCAGAAUCAUCAGCAGUGGCUUCAGUUUCACAGCGAAAGCCAGGGCAUCCUCCUGAAUUCCCAACCACCCUCUCUUCCCCUGGUGUCACAGCUCUUCAGAGAGAAGCAGACAUUUAUAAGUAUUGAUUAGCAGCACAGAAACUACAUGGAGAUGACCACCGGCACAAAGAAAAGCAGUAGGUUAGAGAAGAGGAUGCGUGUCUGUGUAUUUGUAUAGAUAAAGUGCAAAUAAGACUUCGGCUGUUCCUGCUGCAGCUUUUAAGGGCAGUGAGCAGUGGCUGGAGCUAGAGGGCCAUGGAUUUCCCUGGCAGAUGGGCCUUCCCCACCCUCCACCAUGGCCACCUCGGGGUCCCUCCCAGGUGCUGCCCCAGCCCCACAGACAGUGUGACCCUCCCGAGCCCCCAGGAGCUCAGGUAGCUGGCUUCCCUGCUGGUCACUGACGGCCUUCAAACUCUGAUACUAGCUUAUUAUCACUUCUGGCUAUAGUCUGGAAUAUUUUUCCAACUAGUUAUCAAGAUAUAUCCCAGUUAACAGCAUCUUGAGAGGUCUAAGGAUGUGCCUAAACCAUCUGCCAUACUAACCCGUUUCAGGAAAAGCAUACUGGUAAAGUCUUUUGCCUAUGUGUGUUUGCAUUUUAUUGAAUUUUUUUUUCUUCCUCCUAAUUAAAAUAAAGUAGGAUAUGUCAUUUGAAGUAAUAUCCUGAUCUUUGCUAGAGUGCCUGCAUGCUAGACUAGAAAGAAUAAUCCAUGGCAUUGCUAGCUAAUCCAUAGCAUUUUACUGCUAAUGAGACAAAAACCUCCCUGAUCUGCCAGCUCAGCUAGUAUGUUGUUAUCUUCUGGUUGUAUCUGAUGGUUUUAUCAUCACAGGACAGUGACAGAAGGGAAGGGCAAAAGAGAAGUGAGUGGAACUCGCUAUGAAAAAUAGUGUGUUCAGCUAAAGCCAACAUUUUUAAGGAAAUUUGGGGAAGGUAGCAUUAUGGUAUCUGGUCUAGGCCUAUUUAAUUCCCUGGGAAUUAAAUAGGGAAUUGAAUAAUCUAGGGAAUUAAAUAGAUUUUAGAAUCUAUUUUAGAUUUUAGAAUCCAUUUUAUAAUCUAUUUAGAAUCUAUAUCAAAACACAGAUUUUAGGAGAAAGCCACAGGAAUAGGUAGAGAGGAAGGAAAUUAAAUAUGAUGUAUUUUUGCACUGGUUAUGUUGCCUGAGUGAUAUUGUUGUUCCUCAACAAGCAAUUUAAACAGAAAUGGAGUAGAUCCAACGAGCUUUUAUAAGAUGCUCUGAUAUGAGACAUGACCUAAAGCUAUUAAAGAAGUUUAAAUUCCUGUCUUUCAAGACUGGAUACACAACCUACCUGAAAAUGGCAAAAUACAACUGGUUUCUAGGAACGUAUCUAGAGUGCACAGAUAAAAAUGGUAAUAGACUGUGACAUGGGUAAUCUGUCGGACUAGAUGGAGGUUGCUCAUGGAAAAGGCAAAUAUGACCUACAAUUUAUGUGUGUAUUGCUAUGAGAGCUAGUGGAGACCUGCUGAAGUUGUUCUACAAGCUGCUGUGCACCAUACUGUGUAUCACUUGGAUCCUAAACUUUCCAGAAAUCCCUUUUAAAGGAGAAGAUGUGUAGAAAGAUUACUAGAGAAGUUUAUUUUCCAACAGAGAAUUGAAAAAAGCAGGCUCGUUCAGUCUAGCAAAGUGAAGUGCACCAUGAAAUAAUAAGCAACCAUAAGAAGGACAAAAGGCAACAGAAAAUUUCAGAACAAAUGAGCAAACUGACCACAAUUAAUUUUCUCUUAGAAAUUAGAAGACUUUUAAUCUUCAGUAGAGGAGAGUUUUGGAACCAAUUUCUAAUAGAUUUAGUGAAUUCUAAAACUUUAGAUGGAGCUUGGUCAAAUUACGACCAGGAUAAGGACAUGAAAACUGAUUAACUAGGAAGUCUUUUUCUGAUCCCAAGUUCCUGUGAAGUGGAAAUGGGAAACUACACUCUAGGAAAAAACUGAUGAUUAAUUUAGAAGAAUAUGAUAAAAUCAUACUGAAAUACCUUGCAGAGAGGACAAGCAAAGUAUUUUGAAGAAAAAAUUACUGAAUUUGGGGAAAGAUUAUAAAAUGUCGUCUUCUUCUAACUUCAUGGUAUUGUAUUUGAUCAGCUUCUGCUGUGUCACAAGUCAUGGCACUUCUCCUGUUGUAUAUUACCGUAGCGUGUCAAAUUUUCAAUCAUAGACCCACCAUGGGAGUACUAGACAAGACCUUUGGAUUUGUUGCAAAAAUAAAGUUGCAUUUUAAAAAGUCUGAGAACUUCCAUUCUCUGAAUUUUGAAAGUGGUUGAGUUUUUGCCACCACAUAAGGCAGAAAAGGCCAAAAAAAAAGCAUAUUUAAAACAAUUUUUUUCAAGCAUCUCAAAACCAUACCCUCUCAUUUAAAGGCCAAGUGGUGCACAGGCCCACUCUCACCUUGUAAGAAGAUUAUCUCCCAGAAACAUGGCACAACAUUUUGUCAGUACAAUACUCCCUUUGACUCUACCAGCUAUAAAAUAAGAUGCAAAGUAGAUUACCUGGGAUGCUUACAACACAUUUUCUGGGCAGCUUUUCAGUGUUUGCUGAAUGUUUCAGAUGUCAAAUUCUUCUGCAACUUUAUUUCUGAUACUUUGGCAUUCUGAAUAAAAUCAUUCUCCUCUGUGGAUUGUUUUAUCUCUACUGUGGUAGCUCUCUCCACAUAGUUUUCUGACUUGGCCUAGGUCAGAAUUCACUCAAGGGAAAUUUGAGAAAGGAAUUUCUCAAAGGAACUUUUGAGAAAAAAAAAAUGGUGCCUUUUUAAAUUAAGAUUCUUCCUUUUUGUGUGCUUUUUUUCCAGUGAAGAAAAGCCUUGGGUCAUUAAUUUUUAUCUACUUCAUGGUAUUUAAUGAUCCAGUUAACAUCUCUACCAACUAUAUUUUCAUGUUUUGGAGAGGCAUGUGGAUUGGGAUAUGGUAGAAUCCGGAGAAAGUCAUAAUAGAGUAGAAAUUAGCAGGUCUGCUUGGCUUGCAAAGCCAUGAAUUUCAUACAUUCGUUAUCUUUUCUCUUGAUUUUCUUCAUUGGUUCAUAUUUCUAGUAAAAUCUUAAUUGCAUUUAAGUCCCAAUGCUGUGUUUGUUUUGGAAGCAAUGUAAAAUCAGCGUUUUGAUUGUGUGUAGUUUUCUAGUAAUUUAUGCAAAAAUGAUCUGGUUUUGUUCCUUUUUGAACAUACUUAUUCUUUUGAAAGUGAAUAAAGCAAACCUAUAGCUGUGUACCUUCUGCUGUACAAUCUGAAGUAGCCCAAGGUACCUCCGAAAUUACAUUGUGCCUCAGGGCAGUCAUGUGCUUCUGCCAACACAGCAUUAACCUCUCUGCUUGUUUACAGUCUUGUAUAUAUGUUAAUUAAAGUAAUACAGCUCU
Calidris pugnax (ruff) is the source of this 4088-nucleotide long non-coding RNA. RefSeq lists it as uncharacterized. Lineage: Eukaryota; Metazoa; Chordata; Aves; Charadriiformes; Scolopacidae. The record is from RefSeq and is a predicted model, not a curated record. The transcript has 2 exons.